GAUGAACGCUGGCGGCGUGCUUAACACAUGCAAGUCGAACGAUGAAGCCCAGCUUGCUGGGUGGAUUAGUGGCGAACGGGUGAGUAACACGUGAGUAACCUGCCCUUGACUCUGGGUUAAGCCUGGGCAACUGGGUCUAAUACUUGCUAUGACUUCUCAUCGCAUGGUGGGGGGUGGAAAGAUUUAUUGGUUUUGGAUGGACUCGCGGCCUAUCAGCUUGUUGGUGGGGUAAUGGCUCGCCAAGGCGACGACGGGUAGCCGGCCUGAGAGGGUGACAGGCCACACUGAGACUGAGACACGGCCCAGACUCAGACGGGAGGCAGCAGUGGGGAAUAUUGCACAAUGGGCGCAAGCCGGAUGCAGCGACGCCGCGUGGGGGAUGACGGCCUUCGGGUUGUAAACCUCUUUCAGUAGGGAAGAAGCGAGAGUGACGGUACCUGCAGAAGAAGCGCCGGCUACCUACGUGC
RNAcentral lists this ribosomal RNA (467 nucleotides) under uncultured bacterium. Its description in RNAcentral is "partial 16S ribosomal RNA". It matches the Rfam family "Bacterial small subunit ribosomal RNA", at positions 28 to 508 of the family's 1533-position model. The record is from RNAcentral.